Molecule: ribosomal RNA, 825 nt
Filed under: Triticum aestivum (bread wheat)
Lineage: Eukaryota; Viridiplantae; Streptophyta; Magnoliopsida; Poales; Poaceae
Description: partial small subunit ribosomal RNA
Source: RNAcentral
AUGGGUAUGGUCGCAAGGGAUUCUUCCGUCCUAAUGGGGAAUGGGUCACAUGCUUCUGUUCGUGGCAUUGGCACGGUGGAUCUGAAGUUUACUUCGGGAAAGAUCGUGCAACUAAGGAACGUGCAGCAUGUCCCUACUAUGAACAAGAGAAAAGGCUAUGAGUGCGGAGGCUUGUUCCGCUUUUCUCUUUCAGAUUUUUGCAAUAAGUCAAUAAACCAAAUUUGUGCUAGUGUUAAUGAUGAUGCAAGUAUUUGGCACUCUCGUUUAUGUCAUAUUAAUUUUGGUUUAAUGUCUCGGCUAUCCAGCAUGAGUUUAAUUCCGAACUUCACAGUUGCCAAAGGUUCUAAGUGCCAUAGUUGUGUGCAAUCUAAGCAACCUCGAAAGCCUCAUAAGGCUGCCGAGGAGAGAAACUUGGCACCUCUAGAACUCAUACAUUCUGAUCUUUGUGAGAUGAAUGGUGUGUUGACAAAAGGUGGAAAGAGAUAUUUCAUGACUUUGAUUGAUGAUGCGACUAGAUUUUGCUAUGUUUAUUUGUUGCAAACUAAAGAUGAAGCAUUAGACUACUUUAAAAUCUAUAAAGCUGAAGUUGAAAAUCAACUAGAGAGAAAGAUCAAGCGUCUUAGGUCCGAUCGUGGUGGAGAGUAUUUUCCAAAAGUUUUUGAUGAAUUUUGUGAGGAACAUGGUAUUAUUCAUGAGAGUACGCCUCCCUAUUCACCUCAAUCAAAUGGAGUGGCCGAGAGGAAAAACCGCACAUUGACUGACUUGGUGAAUUCCAUGUUAGACACUGCUGGUUUAUCUAAGGCAUGGUGGGGGAGGCUCUAUUGA